This 205-nucleotide microRNA precursor is filed under the name Oryza nivara. RNAcentral's name for it is "MIR812 microRNA precursor family". It matches the Rfam family "MIR812 microRNA precursor family". The record is from Rfam by way of RNAcentral. Lineage: Eukaryota; Viridiplantae; Streptophyta; Magnoliopsida; Poales; Poaceae.
AAUAGAUAACGCCGUUGACUUUUUUUUACAUGUUUGACCAUUCGUCUUAUUCAAAAAAAUUUACGUAAUUAUAAUUUAUUUUGUUAUAAGUUGUUUUAUCACUCAUGGUACUUUAAGUGUGAUUUAUAUCUUAUACAUUUGCAUAAAUUUUUUAAAUAAGACGAAUGGUCAAAUAUGUGAGAAAAAGUCAACGACGUCAUCUAUU